UGUGUCUCUUGUCGACUCCUCUCGCGUGGCGGCACAGAGAAAGAGAGAGUAAGAGAGAGUAAGAGAGAGAGAGAGAGAGAGAGAGAGAGUAUGUGAGUUGCAAGUUUAUCGUAUUGGAGUUGGAUCAACGGGAAUAAGAGCCUGCCGGACUUGAGCCACGCCGCAGCCUAAGAAAUCCCCCGUACUUCGACCAGACGGCGUUAGCAUGAAAACCCUUUUCAUUCCCGAGCCAAAGUAGAAAAGAAGGAGAAUGUUACACCGUCAGUGACUUUCAUCGGAUCCAGGGCGAUGUGAUUACGCUCAGCGUCAAUAUAUAUAAAAAAAAGAGGGAAAAAAGAAGAAUAAGAAAAAAAAAAUGUAAAGCAAAAUCUAAUUCACUGCCAUGAAAGACAAAGUUUUUUGAGCUUUGACUUUGAACUGGUUGUAAAAGGUCACUCGUUCUCGGGCGGGGAGGAACUAGUGGGUCGCUCUCUAUCCUUGCCUGCGCUGAAUCCACACCACUGCGUCACCAUCAGGGACUCACCAUCCCCGAGUCACCAUCCGACUCAACUUCCCUGACUCACCAUUCCUGAGUCACCAUCCGACUCAACAGCGACUCAACUUCCCUGACUCACCAUUUCUGAGUCACCACCACCGACUCAACUUCCCUGACUCACCAUCACGGACUCAGGAUCGCGGUCUCACCAUCCGCGACUCGCACAAUGGAAGGCUGGGGCAGAAUGUACAUCUUUAUUUGUUCACUUUUAACCUACUGGAUCAUUCCCGGAGCUUCACUGCACAUUGCCUCUGGGCGAGAUGUCCCCACGCCCGCAGACGAGGACACGCCCACGAACCUCUCUACGGGCGUGGAGAGCG
Molecule: long non-coding RNA, 855 nt
Organism: Penaeus chinensis
Lineage: Eukaryota; Metazoa; Arthropoda; Malacostraca; Decapoda; Penaeidae
Exons: 3
Source: RefSeq, a predicted model, not a curated record